AUUGUUCUUUGGUCUUUCAGCCAUGACCUGACCUUCUGUCUGUGAGACCAAAGAACUACUU
RNAcentral lists this microRNA precursor (61 nucleotides) under Macaca mulatta (Rhesus monkey). RNAcentral's name for it is "Mml-Mir-4677_pre stem-loop". It matches the Rfam family "mir-4677 microRNA precursor family". The record is from RNAcentral. Lineage: Eukaryota; Metazoa; Chordata; Mammalia; Primates; Cercopithecidae.